Molecule: long non-coding RNA, 1642 nt
Organism: Juglans regia (Persian walnut)
Lineage: Eukaryota; Viridiplantae; Streptophyta; Magnoliopsida; Fagales; Juglandaceae
Exons: 3
Source: RefSeq, a predicted model, not a curated record
AUUAAUUUUUUUUUUCCAGUUUUAAAAUUAUCACUUAUUUAGGUCCUUUAUACUAGGAUUGUACAAAAAAUCGACCAAUCGACUGACACCAACUCAGACCGGCCGUCGAAGUUUAGAACUGGCUGAAAUCAGUAAGGAACCGAUCGAUUGGCGGUGGUAAAUUAACAAAAUCGGUGUCGGCUGGUUCGGUUCGAGGUUUAAACCAGCCAAAAUAAAUAAAUCGGCCAAUGUCAACAACCUCUUUUUUUUAAUAUAUAUACCAUUAAUAAAAGACGCUGUUUCACUUAUAUAAGUGAAAUGACGUUAUUCUGCGAAUCUGCUUCUUUAGUUUAAAAAAAAAAAAAGGAACGGUGUCGUUUGGCUUAUGCCAAACGGCGUUGUUUCUACCUAGGGUUUAAACAACUCGUGCGUGCCCUCUACUUCUCAAUGUUUUCAUUCCAUCUCCAUUUCCGUUUUGAGCCUCAACAGACAAUUCUUCCCAAGCGGCAAGCGGCCAACCCUCUCAUUUGAUCCUCUCCACUCUCCGACGGCGGCAUCAGCAGUGGGCAGUGGCCCAGCCUUCCACAUCCCUCUGGCAAACGGUGCAUCCCACGCCCACAAUCAUUUUUUUUAGGUACCUGCUUUGGCCUUGGAGAAGAAAUUGUUUCAGAUUUUGAAUUUGUAGAUAUUUCUUUAAGAGGACUUACUAAUCGAGAUUUCAAUUGCUGAUAUGUUCGUCUCAUAAAGGAACAUGAGACUUUUGCUGGUGCUGACAUCUGGUUUGUUGUAGAAGUGGAAUUGCUAUUCUUGACAAAAACUUCAUCAAUUUUUGCGAAACAAGCAUGUGGCCUAUUCACAAAGGAGCAGUCCGAAUCAGAAGAUGGACUAGUAGCACUAUCCAUGUGAUAUAAGAGAUUAUCUGUCAUGUGUGGAUGUUGCCCGCAGUUUGAGUUUGAGUUUGAGGCAGGGAAGGAGGUUCUCCUAAGCCUUGUGAGAACAGCAAAUUUUUUCCAUCAAUUACUUAUCAUGAUCGUCUGCCUUGUGACGGGCUGCAACUGAGGCACUCUUCUAGAUAGAGAGAGGUGUACUCUUCUAGAUCUGCCAGUUGGAUCAACUUCAACAAACUUGGAGUAAUCCGAUUCAGGAUGUGCAAGACCAUUUACCUAGGCAACGUAAUCUGGAUCAACUUCAACAAACUCGACGGAACAAGGAGGUGAGAAGAGAGAGAGAGAGAGAGAGAGAGAGAGAGAGGCAGUUUGUUAUGGUUCUGACAGAAGCAACUAGAAGAAGAAGAAGAGAAGAGCAACUCGAAGUGCAAAGGGGUCUGGAGCUGUCGAACUAAUAUGAGAAGUGAAGGAAACGUGUACUGCUUUAUGUAUUAGCUAGGGUGCUACGCACCGUUUAAAUAAAUGUCAGUAGAGUUGUAAAACACAACCGUUUGGAAGUGUCUUCCAAACGGUGCGUUCAAGCUGUCACCUAUUAGCUAGUGAUAGUGGUAAUUUUAAUUUGUUUCAAUUCUGUUAGGGUGCAGCAUACUAAGGCAAGGAGAGGAAUGAGUGUGAGGCAUCUUGGGAAGAUUGUGGAAGUUGAAUUUUUGUAAGGAGGUUUGGGAGCCCUCGAAGUCACUCCCGUAGCAAUUCAUAGUGUAAUUUCCUUUUAGCAA